This is a non-coding RNA of Equus caballus (horse), 945 nucleotides long. The record is from RefSeq and is a predicted model, not a curated record. NCBI's taxonomy places the organism in Eukaryota, Metazoa, Chordata, Mammalia, Perissodactyla, Equidae.
GUAAGUGCAUGACAUGCCAUGCCAUAGUAUAAAUUGUACUUAAUCUACACCAUCAAAAAUAAAUCAAAUCCACCUAACAACCAAUUCUGGAAUCUACUUCCCUAUGAUGGAAUCAGGUGUGUUAUAAUUCCAGGUAAUUGAUUAGGUCUAAUCACCAAAAUAGAAAGCUUCUAAUUUGCCAGCAGUCACUGUUAUAUCUGGGGCACACCAGUGACAGGUAGCACUGGAAUUAAAGCGCAGACUGGAAUGUUAACUCACCCACAUUCUGCCUACUAGCCCCAUUCUCCUCCCGAACUACACCCCCAUGUAUCUUUUGCAUGCAGAGUUCUCUUUGAAGCUGUGAGUUUCACGCGUGGGAAAUCAUGGGAAUCAAAGCUGCCUUAUACAAAAGCAUAUGGUUAGGAGUCCAGGGGAUGUUGAAAAAUGCUACAUAAUAGGAGUCUCCCUAUGGAGAACUCGACUGAGUAUGAGACCCUCAUAUUGUGCAUUUCUUGUGGCCAGGGUGUUUAAAUUGGUGGCCUCAUCCUAUAGCACCAGGAUUUGUCUUCACAUUUAGUUCUCUUGGAUUUUUCUUUUUUAACCUACUUUGACAAAAAAAAGAGGGAGCAAAACAGGAAAAGAAGGCAGGGGCGGGGAAAGAAUAAAUCAUUAUGCAGCUCUCAACCUCCACAGAGAAACAGCAGUACAAACCCACAGAUCCAGAACUGUCGAGCCAUGGGGCUGUUUGUUUACAAGUCACAGAAUCAGUUAUGUAACUAGAUAAGUAAAGGAAAUCAGGCAGGGAGACGAAGAUUCCAGAAGACCAAGAAACUGACGCUGGGGAUGUGUGGGAGAAGUUGCUGAGCUAGACCAGGGAACCUAGCAGGGUGGAAUCGGAGCCCUCUGUGUUUACAAGUUAUGAAGAGACUCAUUCCUCACGUAUAAAAAUAUUUCUGCUUCUUUUUA